Long non-coding RNA from Myotis myotis, 3614 nucleotides. RefSeq lists it as uncharacterized. The record is from RefSeq and is a predicted model, not a curated record. The transcript has 2 exons. Lineage: Eukaryota; Metazoa; Chordata; Mammalia; Chiroptera; Vespertilionidae.
AACUGGGGAUGGAGCCCACAACCCGGGCAUGUGCCCUGACCUGACUGGGAAUCACACGGUCACCUCCUGGUUCCUAGGUCACCACUCAAGCACUGAGCCACACCAGCCGGCAACACUGUGCUCAUUUUAAAUGGACAACAUCGGGAUUUGUUAUCUUGUGAAAUGAUCAUUUUCAAAGACCUGUUUUCCAUCACCACCUUUCCAGGGCCGUCUGCCAGGCUGGCUUUCCACAAUUCCCUGUGACUUUGCUGCCAGGCCAGUGGAUGGCCUUUCACAGGGAGGAGCCUUCAACUAGAGGCGAGGCGGUCACACUGCUCAUGAACACCGAGUGUGCUCCAAGACCUUUCGGGGCUAGAAGCCAGUUUUCUAGGCGGCUGCCCUCGGAUGCCAACAAGUGUGUUUUCUUAUCCUAAUUGUGGAGGAAGACACCCAGAGGAGGGAAGAGGUUUGCCCAGCUUCCGCUCCGGAAUCCGUGAUGAGGUGUCCUGAUGCCCAGGCCCUCAUCUGCUGGUCUCUGGACACAUAUGGUCACUAUACUCACUUGUUUUGCCCGAAGGGCUCCAACACCAGCGAGGUGAGGUGCUUGGGAAAAUCUCUGAUUUUCUUCUUUAAUUCUUUCUCUCUGGUGCUCCUGGCAGUGACAGGAAAACAAAUUCAUUUGCCAGCAUCGAUAUUUUCUUCAUUUGCUUUGACAAGAGGACAGUAAACUGUCUCCUGGGGAAGAGCUGACAGUUGCUGCCUGUAAACCCGAGACAAAGGUGUCACCAGGGUAACCUCCUUGCAGAGGGGCCUGAGCUGCUGUGAGGCGUGGGGAGGAGGAGUGGCGAGCGGCGGGGAGGAUGUUUUCUUUACACGCUGGCCAUGGCCAUCUGGUAGCGACUGCCUGCCAUUGUCCCACCCACAGGAAAAUUAUGUCUUAUGUUAGGAAGUAUCAGUGAAGAACUCCCAUUUCAGCGUGAUGUCGGUGCACACGUACUUUGUCUGUGACCUUUCCCCCAGCUCACCUGUGUGCCUCACCUGUGCGACUGUGGAGUCCUCCGAGGGGACAGGUCUUGCCCCAUGUGCAUCUCCCUUCCUGGAAGAGAGCUCAGGACGUAACAGGUGCUCAGCAGAUGCUGGUUCCAUAAGCGAAUUAAUGGAUGUUCUGAAGGUUUCAUAGGUGGCCCAAAGGGAUAGAUAGUUUCUUAGGACCCAAAACUAAUAGGAACAAGAAUUCAGAAGUGGUUGUCUCAGGUGAAAUGUCCAAUAAUGUGGGACAUUUCUAACUUCCAUGAAAGAAUUCUGAUGUGGUCCAUGUACCUCGGAAUAAUAUCUAUGUUAUACUAGUAAGAGGAAGCCACUUCUCUUUUGGCGAGUGGGAUUGUAUGGACUUUGGUACCAUUACAGCAGAAUGGUUUAUAUAUUGGGAGAAUAUAUACCCCUGCUUUUCCUUUAAAGGGUGUUACUUAGGCUAAUGAAAAUCUCAGUCUAGUACAGUGGUUCUCAACCUGUGGGUAGCGACCCCUUUGGUGGUUGAACGACCCUUUCACAGGGGUCGCCUAAGACCAUCUUGCAUAUCAGAUAUUUAAAUUAUGAUUCAUAACAGUAGCAACAUUACAGUUAUGAAGUAGCAACGAAAAUAAUUUUAUGGUUGGGUCACAACAUGAGGAACUGUAUUUAAAGGGCCAGAAGGUUGAGAACCACUGGUCUAGUAGGUAGGACUAAGAAUGGGGAUUCAGUAUUGAGUAAAUGUUGAGAAAAGAGUUGAGGGAAGGUGCCAUGAGGAAUAAUUGUGAGGUUGAAUCAAUCAAAGCUACUCUGUUUAAUUCCAAUCUGAACAAUCAAUGUGUUAAGUCAUCUCAACAAUUUAUUCAAAUCAAUACUCAUACAAAUAAGGUUGAGUUCACAUACGUAGACCGGUUCCAUUCAGGGGGUUUCAUAUAUGCGCUAUGGUCAGAGUUGGGCAGAUAGAGGAGAUAUUUUGCCUUCCUCAGCACCUUUAUCUUGAACAGGACUGCAGGUAUGUGGCUGAUGUCCAAAUGUCAAAGUGAAACUCUCUUGCCUGUGGCCAUUUAGUUCCUAAAUUGUAAGAGAAACUGUUAUUUUUUUUUUUAUUGAUGCUUAAAACAGCCCUGACAGCUUAAAUACUCAAUAAGCCUUAUCUAGUAUCAACUGUGCAUGUGUUCACGUCAUUGGCUAAACUAAUAUUUACUGCUCACUUCUCUUAGCACGGCACCUGUAUUGACUUAUUUCAUUCUUGAAACACUGUGAAGAAGUUAUUGUCAUUCUCUCAUUUUAAGAUAAGGAAGUGGAAGCGCGCGAGGGCGGUUGAUCACACACCUCCUGAGUGACCAAGCCAGAGUGCCCAGCAGGUCCCAAAUUUCAUGGCAAGUGUCUUAAGAGGGACAAGAGCGGCUAUGUGCAGAUGGAGUCAGAUAUUGAAGUGAUGCAGUUACAAGCCAAGGAACUGCUGGAGCCACCAGAAGCUGGAAGGAGCCAAGAAGGGUUGUUCCCUAGAGCCUUUGGAGAGAGCACCUUGAUUUCAGACUUCUGGCCUCCAGGACUGUGAGAGAGUGUUUGUUGUAAGCCACCCAGUGUGUGCUGAUUUGUUAUGGCAGCCCCAGGAAACUGAUACAGUGUUGUUUUGCAUCUUUCAAGCUUCUAUGAUAGUAACUUGGUGUACAAAACAUCCUACAAUCCGCUUUUUCUCCCUGUUUGACAUCUAUUCAGGAUGCUAUGCGCAUUUUAAUUUUAUUCAUUUUCUUUGCUCUGUAGAGUUCCACUGUAUGACUUACUAUCUAGCUGUGUGAUAUUGGCCUGACUUCUCCUGUGUCUCAAUCCCCUCACCUAGAAAAUGGAAAAAAGUUGUCACCAUAAAGAGUGGAGUUACCAAAAAUCAGAAAAGCCUACCUACUUCAUGGGGUUGUUUUGAGAAAUAAAUGUGGUCAUAUUUGUAAAGUCUUUCCAGUAGAAUACCUUGUAAACAUAGGAAUUGCUCACAUGUUAAUUAAAGAAUACAUUUAUUCGUUCAAUUGCUGAAGGACUUGUAGGACAAUUCAACUUUGUCAUUGUUCUCAACGAAGGGGCUUUGACUAUUCCUGUACGUGGCUCUUGGUUCACAGGUGGAAGAGUUUCUCAGUGGUCCAUACCUAGACAUGGAAUUGUUGAGUCUUGGGUAGGCACACCUUUCAUUUUUCUGGAUCUUGCCCAAUUCUCCUUUAGAGUAUUUGUAACAAUUUAGCUUCCCACCAGCUAUAAAUGAACUCGUUUUUCCAUGUCUUUGUCAACUCUUGUUAUUAUCAGAGUGUAAAAUUUUUGCUUGUGAAAUUGUUUAAUUUCAUUCAAUGAUUUACUUUUUGUUUACUUGUUACUUUUCAGAUUACUAGUAAGAUUGAGCAUCUUGUGACAUGUUUGCUGACUAUUUCUGCUGCUUCUGUGAACUGCAUGUUCAUGUCCUCUGUCUCUCUUUCUAUCAGGUAGUUUACCUUUUUGAAAAUGUAUUUAUCACUUUCUGUGGAUGCUGGAUGCUUGCACUUUCUUUGUAUGAAGUAUUGCAAGUAUUGUUUACCAGUUUGUGUCUUAUCUCUUCACUUUGUUUAUGGUGUCUUUUGUUUAAUAAAACUUAAAAAUGUCAA